Molecule: long non-coding RNA, 227 nt
Organism: Bradysia coprophila
Lineage: Eukaryota; Metazoa; Arthropoda; Insecta; Diptera; Sciaridae
Source: RefSeq, a predicted model, not a curated record
GGUAAAAGUGGAUGUUUGAGUCAAUUCGCCAAAACUUCGAACAGCUUAUAUGGAAUCGAGAUUGAAGCCGACGGCGAUCCAAUCGAGCUAUGGCUCAAAUGAAUCGUCGUUCAAUUCUGAGAAUAUCGUGGAAAAACUUUUUUCCCGAAAAUUUUUUGUUGGGCUGUCAUGGCUCUUAGAAAAUUUUUCUCCGAAGUGGUCGCGAAAACCGUUUUUUAUCAAUUACU